This 465-nucleotide ribosomal RNA is filed under the name uncultured bacterium. Its description in RNAcentral is "SSU rRNA". It matches the Rfam family "Bacterial small subunit ribosomal RNA", at positions 26 to 518 of the family's 1533-position model. The record is from RNAcentral.
AGCCUGAACGCUGGCGGCGUGGCUAAGACAUGCAAGUCGUACGGGCGUAGCAAUACGUCAGUGGCGAACGGGUGAGUAAAGUAUCGCUAACGUACCCCUCAGUCUGGGAUAGCCGGGGGAAACUCCGGGUAAUACCAGGUGACAUUCUCUGCCUGCAUGGGCGGAGACUCAAAGGGAAACCGUUGAGGGAGCGGGCGAUAUCGUAUCAGCUAGUUGGUGAGGUAACGGCUCACCAAGGCGACGACGCGUAGCCGGGCUGAGAGGUCGGCCGGCCACAUUGGGACUGAGACACUGCCCAGACUCCUACGGGGGCUGCAGUAACGAAUCUUCCGCAAUGCACGCAAGUGUGACGGAGCGACGCCGCGUGUGGGACGAAGUCCUUCGGGAUGUAAACCACUGUCAGGGGUAAGAAAGUUCUGAUCUACCCCAGAGGAAGGCACGGCUAACUCUGCGCCAGCACGCCGC